This 383-nucleotide long non-coding RNA is filed under the name Gossypium barbadense (sea-island cotton). RNAcentral's name for it is "long non-coding RNA (GBAR_LNC002682)". The record is from RNAcentral. Lineage: Eukaryota; Viridiplantae; Streptophyta; Magnoliopsida; Malvales; Malvaceae.
ACGGUGGAGCGUGGAGUCAACACUGUGACCGGGGCAGUAGGGAGAUUCCCUUUCGCGUGCCACCAGCAGCUGGCUCUGGGUGGUGGAGUCGCUAAUGGUGGGAUUAGCGGGGUGACCCAGUCGCGGCCGGUUCUAUUUAUCGAAGCGUUGGGAGGAGCUGGCGUUGUUGGUCAGGUUUAUCCGGUUCGGUUCGAUCCGGUGGGAGUGCAGUUGGGUAUGGGAUUUGCAAGUGUUGUCCGAAGUGAACCGGACUCUUCAUCGGCCAUUCAUUGCAAGGCAAGGAGACCUGGCCUUGUCCUCGAUCUUAACCUUCCUCCUCCAGUCGAUGCUUGAUGUUUUGCAUUUUUUUUUUCUUUUUUUCUUUUUUUUUUUUUACGGGAAAC